GACGAACGCUGGCGGCGUGCUUAACACAUGCAAGUCGAACGGAAAGGCCCUGCUUUUGUGGGGUGCUCGAGUGGCGAACGGGUGAGUAACACGUGAGUAACCUGCCCUUGACUUUGGGAUAACUUCAGGAAACUGGGGCUAAUACCGGAUAGGAGCUCCUGCUGCAUGGUGGGGGUUGGAAAGUUUCGGCGGUUGGGGAUGGACUCGCGGCUUAUCAGCUUGUUGGUGGGGUAGUGGCUUACCAAGGCUUUGACGGGUAGCCGGCCUGAGAGGGUGACCGGCCACAUUGGGACUGAGAGACGGCCCAGACUCCUACGGGAGGCAGCAGUGGGGAAUAUUGCACAAUGGGCGGAAGCCUGAUGCGGCAACGCCGCGUGCGGGAUGACGGCCUUCGGGUUGUAAACCGCUUUCGCCUGUUACGAAGCGUGAGUGACGGUAAUGGGUAAAGAAGCACCGGCUAACUACGUG
Molecule: ribosomal RNA, 468 nt
Filed under: uncultured bacterium
Lineage: Bacteria
Description: partial 16S ribosomal RNA
Rfam family: Bacterial small subunit ribosomal RNA
Source: RNAcentral